Molecule: ribosomal RNA, 500 nt
Filed under: uncultured bacterium
Lineage: Bacteria
Description: partial 16S ribosomal RNA
Rfam family: Bacterial small subunit ribosomal RNA
Source: RNAcentral
AUUGAACGCUGGCGGAAUGCUUUACACAUGCAAGUCGAACGGCAGCACGGACUUCGGUCUGGUGGCGAGUGGCGAACGGGUGAGUAAUACAUCGGAACGUGCCCAAUCGUGGGGGAUAACGUAGCGAAAGCUACGCUAAUACCGCAUACGAUCUAAGGAUGAAAGCGGGGGAUCGCCAGACCUCGCGCGAUUGGAGCGGCCAAUGGCAGAUUAGGUAGUUGGUAGGGUAAAGGCCUACCAAGCCGACGAUCUGUAGCUGGUCUGAGAGGAUGAUCAGCCACACUGGGACUGAGACACGGCCCAGACUCCUACGGGAGGCAGCAGUGGGGAAUUUUGGACAAUGGACGCAAGUCUGAUCCAGCCAUUCCGCGUGCAGGAUGAAGGCCCUCGGGUUGUAAACUGCUUUUGUACAGAACGAAAAGGCUCUGGUUAAUACCUAGGGCUCAUGACGGUACUGUAAGAAUAAGCACCGGCUAACUACGUGCCAGCCGCCGCAGUAA